RNAcentral lists this ribosomal RNA (492 nucleotides) under uncultured bacterium. Its description in RNAcentral is "partial 16S ribosomal RNA". It matches the Rfam family "Bacterial small subunit ribosomal RNA", at positions 29 to 507 of the family's 1533-position model. The record is from RNAcentral.
AGUGAACGCUGGCGGUAGGCCUAACACAUGCAAGUCGAACGGCAGCACAGUAAGAGCUUGCUCUUACGGGUGGCGAGUGGCGGACGGGUGAGGAAUACAUCGGAAUCUACUUUUUCGUGGGGGAUAACGUAGGGAAACUUACGCUCAUACCGCAUACGACCUACGGGUGAAAGCAGGGGAUCUUCGGACCUUGCGCGAUUGAAUGAGCCGAUGUCGGAUUAGCUAGUUGGCGGGGUAAAGGCCCACCAAGGCGACGAUCCGUAGCUGGUCUGAGAGGAUGAUAAGCCACACUGGAACUGAGACACGGUCCAGACUCCUACGGGAGGCAGCAGUGGGGAAUAUUGGACAAUGGGCGCAAGCCUGAUCCAGCCAUACCGCGUGGGUGAAGAAGGCCUUCGGGUUGUAAAGCCCUUUUGUUGGGAAAGAAAAGCAGCAGGUUAAUACCCCGCUGUUCUGACGGUACCCAAAGAAUAAGCACCGGCUAACUUCGUG